UACGUAGGUGGCAAGCGUUAUCCGGAAUUAUUGGGCGUAAAGAGCUCGUAGGCGGUUUGUCGCGUCUGCCGUGAAAGUCCGGGGCUCAACUCCGGAUCUGCGGUGGGUACGGGCAGACUAGAGUGAUGUAGGGGAGACUGGAAUUCCUGGUGUAGCGGUGAAAUGCGCAGAUAUCAGGAGGAACACCGGUGGCGAAGGCGGAUCUCUGGGCCGAUACUGACGCUGAGACGCGAAAGCGUGGGGAGCAAACAGG
Molecule: ribosomal RNA, 253 nt
Filed under: uncultured bacterium
Lineage: Bacteria
Description: partial 16S ribosomal RNA
Rfam family: Bacterial small subunit ribosomal RNA
Source: RNAcentral